Molecule: ribosomal RNA, 250 nt
Filed under: uncultured prokaryote
Description: partial 16S ribosomal RNA
Rfam family: Bacterial small subunit ribosomal RNA
Source: RNAcentral
UACGUAGGGGGCAAGCGUUAUCCGGAUUUACUGGGUGUAAAGGGAGUGUAGGCGGCGAUGCAAGUCAGAUGUGAAAACCCGGAGCUCAACUCCGGGACUGCAUUUGAAACUGUAUUGCUAGAGUAUCGGAGAGGCAAGCGGAAUUCCUAGUGUAGCGGUGAAAUGCGUAGAUAUUAGGAAGAACACCGGUGGCGAAGGCGGCUUGCUGGACGAAAACUGACGCUGAGGCUCGAAAGCGUGGGGAGCAAAC